UUUUGUUUGUUAGUUUGGUUUUUUUUUUGUUUGUUUGUUUGUUUUUAGCUAGAAGACCUUUCCCUUCUCAGUCUGGGCUGCACUGCAUGAGCCUGCACCCAGCACCCAUUCUCGCCUGCCCCAGGCACUGCUCCAGCUCUCCCAUCCUGUGGAUGCCAGAAUUGCUGCUGGGAUGUGAGCAGAAAGGCAGGGGGAGAGGAGGUGGCACAAACAGCCCUUUCUGCUGGCCACCCUUGGCUACAUCCCCAGCACUGCUUGGGUGGGCUCCCUGCCCUGGCUGUGCCAGUGCUGCUCUCUGAGUGUUCACUGAGGAACAGCUCCCUGCUUUCCCUCCACCCACAUCCACCUCCUUAGAGGAGGAUCCAUGUUAGUGCCUGGUCCCCUGUCAAGAGCUCCUGCAGGCAGCCAGGAGCUGCUCCUAAUGGGCUGCCAGGGGAUUUGGGAUCUGACAGCUGGGUGCUGACAGCUCCCUGCAACUGCUCGCUCCAGCUGCUGGGCUCCUCUCCCUGGUAAGAUGGAGAAGGAUGCUCUGACUGCCACAGGGAGGAGGCUGGCUCUUUUUUCUCCCCUCACCAGGUGUUUGUGAUGGUGCUGGAGGGUUGUGGUGCCCACUGCCUUGGUGGGGCUGGAGGGUUGUGGUGCCCACUGCCUUGGUGGGGCUGGUAAAGCCUUGGGGGACAAUGGUGGUACAAUGGUGGUACAAGCAGAGGGAUACGAGGCUGGAGGAGCUCCUGCAGGGUGGUGCUCCCACAUGGGCACUGUGAGAGGGAAGGAGGUCUGGGUGCUGCACAGAGCAAGUCUUAUCGCAGCCCCUAGCAGGGAGUUGGGAUGGGAGGCCCUUGUUAGCUAGGAGAGCUGGGAGCAAGUGCUGGCACCUCCUGGGGCUCCCUCUGCAGCAGCUCUGGGGCCUCCCAAGCCUUCUCCUGGCUGACACAUCGCCUCUCUCUUCUGCUUGACGCAGGGCUCCUGUGUGUCCCCACAGACCCCAUGCAGGGGCUGGGGGGAUCCUGGGGCUCCCUGGGGUCCGGCUCCAUCCCAGCAGGGCCGCGGCAGCCCGGGCAGAGGGACUGUCCCAUCAUCCUCCAGCACGGAGCAUCUCCCAGCCUGCUGUCUUGUAUGGCUUUUUAUUCCUAUGUGAUUAUACAUCCCACUUCAUAUAGGGAUUGAAGCCGUGCACUACGCCGGGCUCCUGCGGCAGAGAGCAGCCCCUGUGCCACGGGAGCCGGCCUCAGAGGAGCCACCAGAGCUGUCCCCGGGGGCUGGAGGGGGACUGCUGGCCUCAGCCUGAGCUCAUCCUGCAUCCCAGGCUCCCCAGCCCUCCUGGGAUGCAGAUGAGGGGUGCCAGGCUGCUUUGGGGUGAGGCCGGCACGAGCCCACUCCUUGCAUUGCACCCCCCUGCAAGGGUGGCACACAAACACCCUUCUGCACCACACCUGUGUGGAGACCCUCAGUGACUGCACUGCGGGGCUGAUCCCUGGGGAAUCUGCUGCUCUGCUUUCGUCCCCAAAUAUCCUGGGAUAUGCAGGCACUGCCAGCAGCACAGGGGAGGAGGAAGAGGAAAAAGAUGCUGAGGAAUGGCCACGACAGCAAGGGCUGCCCCAGGCACGAUGCUCUUCAAGGUUUCUCAAGAGGCCUCAGCCACUCUUGCAAGGUUUGUGUUAUAUCUGUCACAUUAGCGAAAAUGGUGAAAAUUGUGGCUUGUGGAGGAGAUGAAAGGCAGCCCCUUCCAAUGCCUCCAUAAAGGAAGGGCCCCAUUAACACCUAGUGAAUUAUUGGCCAUUAAUCAGGCUCUGUGCAAAAUAAAACCAUCCACAUUUAUCAUUAUUGGAUCCUUAAUGAAGUGAUAAUGGGAAUGCUGGGGAGCUGUGAUAUUAAUGUCUUCUAAGAGGCAAGAGCAGAGCCAAGGGCGGCAGCCAAGAUUUUUAAUUUACUGCCAGAAGCUCGUGCUGUUAAUAACGCUGUUACUUCCCCCGGCCGUUAGCCCUGUUUGGCUACGAGCUGCCCACCUGGGAGAGCAAAUCAGCCCUGAACAUACCCAGACUUUGCUCACCUGCUCCCCACACAGCAUCUGAGCACAUUUCCCCCACCCACUGUCCCCUGCCCAUGUGUAGGGAUAUGGCCGGGGAGCUGCUGGCUAUCUUCACCCACCUGCCUCCUUCCUGAAGGCCAGCUGGUGUAGAAAGUUUUGCUUUCUGAUAAAAAGUGAAGGGACUGUGAGCAUCAAGCCCCUGUGUCUCUUACUGUCCUCACUCUCUCUCUCUGUGACUUUUCUCCUUAGGCACAAGCACCAGAGCCAGGGUGGCACACAGCUGGUCCCAGCACAGCCCACACACCGGGGCUGCUCCACACUCUGGUGUCUUCAUUUGCACAGCUUUACUCUCAUGAGGCCAAUAUCCCAUCCAGGACAGCAAGGACAAGCUGCAAAGCCUGCUCAGCUGUGGUGACUCACUUGAGUUCCAAUGGGAAAGUCAUUGCUCCUGCCAAGCCCUGCCAGCCCAGAGGCAAAUCAUUACCAGGCAGGGACCAGCAGGGAAGAUGUUGCUGUGGAGGGAAAGAGGCUGGAGGAGGACUCCACACAGCUGGCUUGUCACUGAGCUUCAUUCAUCCCCAUCCUUACACUGUACAGGGAAGGUAUGUUGUCCUCUUUGUCACUGUGCACUGCUUGUGCCACCCAGCCAGUAUCAAGAACUUCUCUCUGCCAGCGUGCUUCUUAGCCACACUCCUGGCUGUGCAUCCUGCUGGGCCUGGGGUCUCUGUCAUCUCAGUACCCUGCUGUGGGAAGAGCUGCAGGGCACUGUGCUGGCUUGUGGAGCAGGUGCUGGGUGUCCCCUUCCCAGCACAUCCCCCCAGCAGCUCCAUGCUUCAUGUGAGCAGGCCUUGCUGUAAUUUGCUCCAGUGGACCCCUAAAACCCCACUGCUGAGCUGCUCUUAGCUGGGGGCACUGCAAGUGCAACAGUGCAGCAAGGGCUCUCCAUGGUAGCUCUGCAAAUGGCCUCAACUUCCCUACAUCUCUUAAAUUAACUGGAGCAGUCACAUGCCUUAAAUCCAGUUUCUUUCUCUGUAAUGUGACCCCUUACCUUCCUCUGAUCCCACCAAUUAGAAGUGCUUGUUUUUGCUGUGGACAUUCACUCAUGUGUCUACAUAGUGGAUUCUUUCUGUCAAAGACACUGGCAGCCUCAACAGUGAGCCCUAAUUUAAGUAGUUUGCAUUUGUCCACAGCAUUGGUGCUCUCAUUUACUCCUGCUCCUAAUUAAGUGCAUCUGGGUGUCUGCAGAGGGAGCUCUCAUGAUCUCUCCGUGGCUCUAAUUAAAAUGGCCUGGAUGUCCAUGACAUUGGUGCCUGUCAAGCCUGUCACCAGGAGGUGAUGCCCACCUUGGAACUGGCUGAAGAAUGUGUAGGAGUCAUUGUUCCUGAGAAAGGCCUCCACAUCCAGGCCCUCCUGAAGUGCCUCAGCCACCAGCCCUGGGCUGCAGAAGGCUCCUGCUGCCUCCGUUGGCCCAUCCUGCCCGUCUGUUCCCCCACUGAGGAAGAGGAUCUCACACCUCCCUUGGGGGCUGCUGGCUCCUGUGGCCUGGGCCUUGUGCAGCCCCAGCCCCACACGCAGGGCCAGCUCCUGGUUUCUCCCUCCCUUGCCUGUUCCUUGGAGCUGGACCGUGGUUUCUCCACCAGCCAGGAUGCAGAUUGGUCUGUCAGGCCCCAAUCCUCUCAGGGCCUGUAGGAACUCCUCCAGGUGCAAGCCUGGGAUCUGCAGCUCUGCUGCCAGUUGCAGGAGAUUGCCCCUCAGCUCGUCCCCCAGGGGCCCUUCUGCGAGGCUGCUGAAGCCCAGGCAGAGCAGCUGGAUCAGCUGGCAGUACAGGGUGGCAACACUGCCCACUUCCCCCUGCACUGCUGCGCUCAGCACCAGGGCUGCAUAGCCCAGGCCCUCAGCCUGGUGCCUGGCCUCCUCCAGAGCCAGCCUGUUGGAGCCAAGGAUGAUGUUGGAAACGUGGGAGUAGUUUUCUGGAGCGGUGGGCUUGGUGGGAGAGCUGGAGAGGACCAUUUCCACUGACUUGGGCAGGCUGUGCAGCAGGUUGUAUUUGGUGAGUAUCUGGAGGCAGUCUUGGACACUGUGGGAGCUGGGAGCAGUGGGCCCACUCGCUAUGAUGUCCAGGGGGUCACCUAUCACAUCAGACAGGAUGAGACUCACCACCUGUGGAAAGAAAUGCCCACAGAUUAUUGCAGGAGGCAAAGACAGGUGACCACAAAAGAGCCCUGGCAUAAGCAUUGCUCUGAGUGCCAUCCCCACAUCAAAGCAGAUGGAAACAGGGUAGGGCUUAACCCAUUUUCAAUUUAUGGACCUGUGAGUGUCACCUUGCCCUUCUCAAACCCACAGAUUUACAGUCCCCUUUGAAGCUGGAGACUAUCAUGCUGGAAGAUGUAACCUGUGACACUGCAGUUGUCAGGCCCAACCUAGUGUGGCUUCAGCAAUGGGACAUGCUGAGAACAGCCCCCAGGGGAGCCAAGGUCAGGGCCAGCCUUGAAAGUACUGUGCUGAAGCACCAACACUUGGAAGUGCCUGCUGGCUGUGGGCUGGGGUCUGCAUGAUGGGAUGGCUGAUGUUUCCCAAGUCUGAAUUCCCACUCUCCCAGCUCUGUCUCCCUGAGAGUUUCUGUCCAAAGUGAAAUCUCAGCCACAGAGCCCCAAAACAGUGUGCAAAGCUGUUCACUCAGUAUGGACAAAAACCUGGCAAGCUGAUUUAAACCUGUGUUUUGAGGGUAGAUGGGAGAUGUCUGGGCAGACAGGGGCUUUCCCUUGGUUACCUGAGCAGGAUGUGCCAGCUGGGCCAGCCCUCCACCCUUCAGCACGGACAGAGUCUUCCGGACAAUGUUCAGCUCCUGUAUGGCAGCUCCUCGGGAAGCCAACAGCUUUGUGAGCUUCUCCUUCUCCUCCAGGAGGAUGGGAGGGAUGGGAGCAGGCAGGAGGGCAGAUCCACCCCCUAGGAUGCAGAAGAGAUGGCAAGGACAUCAGGAUAGCAGGAGAAGGAGGACAAAGGAGAGCAAGGCUUUAGCCUUUUCUCUUCCCUCACCAGUGUCUGGAGGGAAGGCAGAGGUGACUGGGGACCUAAGCUAACAUCUCUGGGGAAUUCAGUCAUCUUCAGUGGUGGGUUUGAAUCACUGCUGUGCUGCACUCUCUGCACUCAGCUACACUUCACCCAGGCAGUGUGAGCCUGGCUGCAUGGGGGCACCACAAGCCUGCAGUGUGGUGGGGGUGACAGAAGAGGGACAGCACCCACCCUCACCUCUGCACUGGGCUGCAGCUGGCUCCUCACACUGAUACUGAGGGGUCACCUGGGUGUGUGAGCAGGGAGCCAUGGCCUCCAUGGAUCACACAGCAGCCAGUGCUGGCCACAUGGGGACACUGCCUGAUGUGGUGGCUCCAUUUAUUCAGGACAGUGUGUAAAAACAUUGGCUAGGGAUGCAGCAAGAUUGGAAACUGCUGAACUGCACUCAUCCAGGCCUGGGAGGAGAGAAAAGGGGGGACAGUAUUGCAAAGGACAAAGCACACACUGAGUCCAGGGUGAUAGCUUCACUGCUGGGAAUUCUGUCUGACACAAGCAGGCAUUGGAAAUGUGGAAAAGAAGGAAAGGUUCUAAUGGAAAAGUGGAAUGGAUUGAAAAUACAGAGGAGAAAAGAGCAAGGCCUGUGCACAGAGUGAACGUGCACAGAAGUACAGCUGAAUGCUACUGUCAAAAUGCAAAGCCUGCUCAGAGGUUUGAGACAAAUCAGCAUCAAUAAAACAUGAUGAGCAAGAAAAACAAA
Molecule: long non-coding RNA, 5798 nt
Organism: Melospiza melodia melodia
Lineage: Eukaryota; Metazoa; Chordata; Aves; Passeriformes; Passerellidae
Exons: 2
Source: RefSeq, a predicted model, not a curated record